GCGACCACACCACGUUGAAAACACUGGUUUUCGUCCGAUUACCAAAAUUAAGUAAUGUUGGGAUAUGUUAGCACUUGCAUCGGUUAAGCUUUGGUACUUAUGUA
Molecule: ribosomal RNA, 104 nt
Filed under: Schistosoma japonicum
Lineage: Eukaryota; Metazoa; Platyhelminthes; Trematoda; Strigeidida; Schistosomatidae
Source: RNAcentral